UUAAGCGACUAAGCGUACACGGUGGAUGCCCUGGCAGUCAGAGGCGAUGAAGGACGUGCUAAUCUGCGAUAAGCGUCGGUAAGGUGAUAUGAACCGUUAUAACCGGCGAUUUCCGAAUGGGGAAACCCAGUGUGAUUCGUCACACUAUCAUUAACUGAAUCCAUAGGUUAAUGAGGCGAACCGGGGGAACUGAAACAUCUAAGUACCCCGAGGAAAAGAAAUCAACCGAGAUUCCCCCAGUAGCGGCGAGCGAACGGGGAGCAGCCCAGAGCCUGAAUCAGUGUGUGUGUUAGUGGAAGCGUCUGGAAAGGCGCGCGAUACAGGGUGACAGCCCCGUACACAAAAAUGCACAUACUGUGAGCUCGAUGAGUAGGGCGGGACACGUGGUAUCCUGUCUGAAUAUGGGGGGACCAUCCUCCAAGGCUAAAUACUCCUGACUGACCGAUAGUGAACCAGUACCGUGAGGGAAAGGCGAAAAGAACCCCGGCGAGGGGAGUGAAAAAGAACCUGAAACCGUGUACGUACAAGCAGUGGGAGCACAGAGCAAUCUGUGUGACUGCGUACCUUUUGUAUAAUGGGUCAGCGACUUAUAUUCUGUAGCAAGGUUAACCGAAUAGGGGAGCCGAAGGGAAACCGAGUCUUAACUGGGCGUUAAGUUGCAGGGUAUAGACCCGAAACCCGGUGAUCUAGCCAUGGGCAGGUUGAAGGUUGGGUAACACUAACUGGAGGACCGAACCGACUAAUGUUGAAAAAUUAGCGGAUGACUUGUGGCUGGGGGUGAAAGGCCAAUCAAACCGGGAGAUAGCUGGUUCUCCCCGAAAGCUAUUUAGGUAGCGCCUCGUGAAUUCAUCUCCGGGGGUAGAGCACUGUUUCGGCAAGGGGGUCAUCCCGACUUACCAACCCGAUGCAAACUGCGAAUACCGGAGAAUGUUAUCACGGGAGACACACGGCGGGUGCUAACGUCCGUCGUGAAGAGGGAAACAACCCAGACCGCCAGCUAAGGUCCCAAAGUCAUGGUUAAGUGGGAAACGAUGUGGGAAGGCCCAGACAGCCAGGAUGUUGGCUUAGAAGCAGCCAUCAUUUAAAGAAAGCGUAAUAGCUCACUGGUCGAGUCGGCCUGCGCGGAAGAUGUAACGGGGCUAAACCAUGCACCGAAGCUGCGGCAGCGACGCUUAUGCGUUGUUGGGUAGGGGAGCGUUCUGUAAGCCUGUGAAGGUGUGCUGUGAGGCAUGCUGGAGGUAUCAGAAGUGCGAAUGCUGACAUAAGUAACGAUAAAGCGGGUGAAAAGCCCGCUCGCCGGAAGACCAAGGGUUCCUGUCCAACGUUAAUCGGGGCAGGGUGAGUCGACCCCUAAGGCGAGGCCGAAAGGCGUAGUCGAUGGGAAACAGGUUAAUAUUCCUGUACUUGGUGUUACUGCGAAGGGGGGACGGAGAAGGCUAUGUUGGCCGGGCGACGGUUGUCCCGGUUUAAGCGUGUAGGCUGGUUUUCCAGGCAAAUCCGGAAAAUCAAGGCUGAGGCGUGAUGACGAGGCACUACGGUGCUGAAGCAACAAAUGCCCUGCUUCCAGGAAAAGCCUCUAAGCAUCAGGUAACAUCAAAUCGUACCCCAAACCGACACAGGUGGUCAGGUAGAGAAUACCAAGGCGCUUGAGAGAACUCGGGUGAAGGAACUAGGCAAAAUGGUGCCGUAACUUCGGGAGAAGGCACGCUGAUAUGUAGGUGAAGUCCCUCGCGGAUGGAGCUGAAAUCAGUCGAAGAUACCAGCUGGCUGCAACUGUUUAUUAAAAACACAGCACUGUGCAAACACGAAAGUGGACGUAUACGGUGUGACGCCUGCCCGGUGCCGGAAGGUUAAUUGAUGGGGUUAGCGCAAGCGAAGCUCUUGAUCGAAGCCCCGGUAAACGGCGGCCGUAACUAUAACGGUCCUAAGGUAGCGAAAUUCCUUGUCGGGUAAGUUCCGACCUGCACGAAUGGCGUAAUGAUGGCCAGGCUGUCUCCACCCGAGACUCAGUGAAAUUGAACUCGCUGUGAAGAUGCAGUGUACCCGCGGCAAGACGGAAAGACCCCGUGAACCUUUACUAUAGCUUGACACUGAACAUUGAGCCUUGAUGUGUAG
Molecule: ribosomal RNA, 2115 nt
Filed under: Escherichia coli
Lineage: Bacteria; Pseudomonadati; Pseudomonadota; Gammaproteobacteria; Enterobacterales; Enterobacteriaceae
Description: bacterial LSU rRNA
Rfam family: Bacterial large subunit ribosomal RNA
Source: RNAcentral